GAGCAGGUAGCCUAGUGGUUAGAGCAGGUAGCCUAGUGGUUAGAGCAGGUAGCCUAGUGGGUAGAGCAGGUAGCCUAGUGGUUAGAGCAGGUAGCCUAGUGGUUAGAGCAGGUAGCCUAGUGGGUAGAGCAGGUAGCCUAGUGGGUAGAGCAGGUAGCCUAGUGGGUAGAGCAGGUAGCCUAGUGGUUAGAGCAGGUAGCCUAGUGGUUAGAGCAGGUAGCCUAGUGGUUAGAGCAGGUAGCCUAGUGGUUAGAGCAGGUAGCCUAGUGGGUAGAGCAGGUAGCCUAGUGGGUAGAGCAGGUAGCCUAGUGGGUAGAGCAGGUAGCCUAGUGGUUAGAGCAGGUAGCCUAGUGGUUAGAGCAGGUAGCCUAGUGGUUAGAGCAGGUAGCCUAGUGGUUAGAGCC
Molecule: long non-coding RNA, 404 nt
Organism: Oncorhynchus tshawytscha (Chinook salmon)
Lineage: Eukaryota; Metazoa; Chordata; Actinopteri; Salmoniformes; Salmonidae
Source: Ensembl